RNAcentral lists this ribosomal RNA (385 nucleotides) under uncultured bacterium. RNAcentral describes it as "bacterial SSU rRNA". It matches the Rfam family "Bacterial small subunit ribosomal RNA", at positions 376 to 779 of the family's 1533-position model. The record is from RNAcentral.
CGAAAGCCUGACGGAGCAAGACCGCGUGAGGGAGGAAGGCUCUUGGGUUGUAAACCUCUUUUGUCAGGGAAGAAUGACGGUACCUGACGAAUCAGCAUCGGCUAACUCCGUGCCAGCAGCCGCGGUAAUACGGAGGAUGCAAGCGUUAUCCGGAAUUAUUGGGCGUAAAGCGUCCGCAGGUGGCUAAUCAAGUCUGCGGUCAAAGACCGGGGCUUAACCCUGGAAAGGCCGUGGAAACUGAUAAAGCUAGAGUACCGUAGGGGUAGAGGGAUUUCCCGGUGUAGCGGUGAAAUGCGUAGAGAUCGGGAAGAACAUCGGUGGCGAAAGCGCUCUACUGGACGGUGACUGACACUCAGGGACGAAAGCUAGGGGAGCGAAUGGGAUU